Molecule: long non-coding RNA, 2032 nt
Filed under: Lytechinus variegatus (green sea urchin)
Lineage: Eukaryota; Metazoa; Echinodermata; Echinoidea; Temnopleuroida; Toxopneustidae
Description: uncharacterized LOC121407082
Source: RNAcentral
GUUUUUACAAUAUCCUACACAGUAUCGUGAGAAAGCAUAAAAAAGAUUCAGAAAUUAUGUAACCUUAAAGCUUAGGCAAGCUAAGAGUAAUUUUUUAUUUCAAGAAAUUCAAUGAUUUCAAAGACAAUACAAGAAAGACUUGGCAAUGUAUUAAUACAAUUUUGGGAAAAAACAAAAGAUCAUCUUCAAGCAAUAAUUCUAUGACACUGAAUGGUGAAAUUGUAACUAAUAAAGAAGCAAUUGCAAAUGCCUUUAAUGAUUUUUUUGCUAUAAUUGGUACUAAAUUGUCUUCUCAACACAUUAAUAAUUCUGACACUAAUUUUGCUUCUUAUCUAGAUGACCCCAAUUUGCAAUCGUUAUAUCUCAAACCAAUAAAACCAAGUGAAAUAAUUGAUAUAGUUUUAAAAAUGAAAAGCAAUACAUACAAGUUCUGGUCAUGAUUCUAUAGGUAUCAAAGUUGUCAAGAAAAUAAUUUGUUUACCAGUCAUUUGCGAAAAUCUUGGUCAUAUUUUUAACUGUAGUAUAUCUUCUGGCAAAUAUCCUGACUUAAUGAAAAUAGCCAGAGUAACCCCAAUUUUUUUUAAAAAAGGUGAUACGAGUGAACUUAAUAAUUAUAGACCAAUCUCUGUACUCUCAAUAUUUGUUAAAAUACUCGAAAGAUGUAUGUAUAAUAGAGUUGUUUCUUUUUUUGAUAAACACCAAGUUCUUUUUUGUACUCAGUUUGGUUUUAGAUCUUCUGCAAUAUUGGAAUUGAUUCAUAAAAUUACGCAAGCAAUAGAAAGGAAAGAAUAUACAUUAACAGUUUUUAUUGAUUUGUCAAAAGCUUUGGACAUUAUAGAAACUGGUUUCGAAGUUAUUUGAAUGAAUGACAACAGUAUACAGUUAUAGAUGGUAUGGAAUCAAAAUACAAUACAGUAAGAUGUGGAGUGCCCCAGGGCUCUAUACUUGGUCCCCUUCUGUUUUUGAUUUACAUAAACGACUUGCCAAAAUGUUCAACCUUAUUAGAUUACAUAUUAUUUGCAGACGACAUCAGUAUUUUUCCUUCCAGUCCUGAUCCAACUCAACUUAUCUAUACCAUGAACACCCAAUUAAUAAAAUUACAUCAAUGGAUGUGUGCCAAUGAGCUGAUUUUAAAUGUAGAUAAAACUAUGUAAUAUUUGGUACACGUAAAAUUAGUAAUAACAUCCCAAAUAUUUAUUAUUAUCAUGGUAUUAUUAAUAGAGUGUCAAGUACUAAGUUCUUAGAUGUUAUGAUUGAUGAUAAGUUGUCUUGGAAUAAUCAUAUAAGUCAUCUAUGUGGUACCAUAUCUAGAAUUAUCAGAAUUCUUAGAAAAUUGUAAUUUUUGCCCAGAAAUGUUCUCAAAUUAUUGUAUCAUUCUUUAAUAUCUUCUCAUUUAAGUUAUUGUUCCACAGUGUGGGGCUUCUCAUCAAAAUAUAAUCUUAAUCGUAUAUUUUGUCUACAGAAAAGGGCACUAAGAGUUAUAACUCAUUCUCAUCAAAUCCUUCUUCCCCUCUAUUUUCCAAAAUUAAUAUUUUUUCAAUCCAUAGUAUCAUUUCUUUACAAACUGGUUCUUUCAUGAAUAACUGUUUUCAUGGUAGUAUACCACCGUCAAUUUUAAAUUAUUUUAAAUAUUGAAUCGAUCCAUUCAUUCCCAUAAUACACAAAAUAGAUGUAAAUUUCAUCCUCCUCUGUGUCGAACUGAGCUAGCCAAAUCAACCAUUUUUUAUCAGGGCCCUAUACUGUGGAACAAUCUCUCUGUUAAACUUCAGACAGCAAAGAUGUGAACUUUUCAACUUUAAUUACACUGAGCAACCCUUUUCUCUUGACAAAUAAUCAUAGCCUCUCUGUUUCUUUUCUUCUUCUUUCCUGUCCUGUCUUAUGCCAUAUGGAUGUAUUUUUAUGAUUAUGUAUGUAUUAUGUUUAAUGUAUUAUAUACUACCUACUAUGUGUGCUUAUGAAUGUUAUUUUGGUCCACCACUAUUUUUAAAAUGUAUUUGUAUAUUGCUUUGCAUAUAUUUUAAUUUUGUGGAAA